Caerostris darwini is the source of this 117-nucleotide non-coding RNA. The record is from the annotation of a GenBank genome assembly. Lineage: Eukaryota; Metazoa; Arthropoda; Arachnida; Araneae; Araneidae.
CGGCCAUACCAUACCGAUACCGAUAUAUACCGAUUCUCGUUAGAUCACCGAAGUCAAGCAUCAUUGGGCGCGGUCAGUACUUGGGUGGGUGACCACCUGGGAACACCGCGUGCCGUU